AACGUACACACAGCCACGAGGUAGAUAAUUCUUGCACAUGCCCAUGAAUGAAAACAUGGCGUCUAUGGAUAGGCUUGUGAGUAAGCAUCACCGGAGAUAGCUGAACUUCAUAAUGAAGAAGUGAUCUGAGUAGAUAAUUAUAACUGGAAAAUACAAUCUACUCCUUCCUUGCUAUUAAGAUAUCAAAACCGAGGUCUGAAGUGUCCGACACUGAGUCAGGUCAACUCAUCACAGACGUGCAGAGGUCACGGAAUGCAUGGGAGCCGGAGAUCUACUACAGUAUUGUAGAUAUUGAGCUGAAGAAAUCAUUUUAGAGCAGCCACUUUGUCUUUCAUGAUAAGGCUUUUGGUGAAGAAAGUGUUGUUUCAAGAAUGAUCAGUCGAUUGCUGUUUGUUUGGGGCGUCUCCUUUCUAUUGGUCCAAGCCCAAGAGACAGGGAUCCCCUUUGCCCCUUCAAACCUCAAUAUAUCCACUCAAGGCAAAGAUUUUGUUCUAUCGUGGACCCCUCCAUUGAUCCAUGACUGGGAGAAUCUCACGUAUUCAGUCACGGUACGGAAUCAAGUCAGUAACGAGUCACGCAUGACCACCACUCUGAGUUCACCGUUCACCUUUAGCGAGAGCAUCGGAAAGAGAGAUUGUCAAUUGUACGAGUUCACCCUGGUCUCCAUGAAUCAAGUUGGACUCAGUACCAAUGGUGUCUUUGGGAGUAGAAUAGUGCCUACGGGUAAGCUAUGUAAUUACAUAAUUAUAGCUAUAAUGAAAGCUGAUGCCUCGGUGGAAGCAUAGAUACUAGUAUCUAUGGUGGAGGUGUCAAAGCUACAGCUACUAGCAAUAGCUUUUAUACACUGUCACACAUUGAUUAUAAUUAUCAUGAUGAACAAUUUGCUGCAUGCAAGCAUAGAGAGAAACUCAACGAUUGGUUAAUGAACGGCCAUGAUUGUUGUUAAAAAAGAUCGAUGCCAAAAGUCCAAAUGGCUGCUAGUAUAAUUAUAUUAGAUCCCAUUUGAGUGUAUUUAGCAGGGAACUAUGAGCUAUAGUACCGGUACUAUAGAUUGCUCUGGGCUACAGACUACAACAUUGUACAUUGUAUUGUGAUUUACAAGAUACACAUGUAAUAACAUAACAAUUAUUGUAGCUAGAUGCUUUGUCUAGUAAUAUAAUAACAGAACUAGAAUGAAAGAGAGAAGCUCUAGUUUCUUUUUUUGGCUUUGUUCGAGAGUAGUAGGAGACGCUUGUUUUUUGGGCAGUGUGCUGUGCUUUUUGCUGCAAGGCUGCAUGGGGGAGGAGCUGGAUGUAUGGAAGUGCUGGGAUUCUAGCUUUGGCUUCUUUCUAAAGUUCCUUUCGCUUUGUUCAAGAGUAGUAUAGGCGCCACUCGUUUGCUGGGCUUGUUUGCUUCAAAUUAUAGCUUAGGUGUCUUCCUUUCGCUUUGUGAGAGUAGUUUAGUUUAGGGUUGAAUUUUGGCUCGAUUAUCUAUUAUCGCAUGGCUAAAGGUAAUAUGUUUUCCUCCCCAUCCUAUACCUCUUGGUGCCCUACCACACAAAUGUAAUGACUUUGCUAGUUAGUUAUUCACUUAGUCAUUUCCUGUUCUUAAUGUUUCCUGUGUUGUAAUGUUUCCUGUUUAAUUGUACAUGCGCAUGAGUUCUUAUUACUGGAUAACACUUCUUUUGUAUAGUCUAUCUUAUUGCUUUGUGCUCUAGCCCAGCGGCCUGCUCCUAGCGGCACCCUUUGUGUAUGGGAGCCUCUGCUCCACUGUCUUUGUUGUCUUAGUAUUGACCGUCUAUGUUUUGUGCAUACUGCCAGUUGAUCUAUGG
Long non-coding RNA from Halichondria panicea, 1810 nucleotides. RefSeq lists it as uncharacterized. The transcript is spliced from 4 exons. Lineage: Eukaryota; Metazoa; Porifera; Demospongiae; Suberitida; Halichondriidae. The record is from RefSeq and is a predicted model, not a curated record.